This 406-nucleotide ribosomal RNA is filed under the name uncultured bacterium. RNAcentral describes it as "partial 16S ribosomal RNA". It matches the Rfam family "Bacterial small subunit ribosomal RNA", at positions 29 to 526 of the family's 1533-position model. The record is from RNAcentral.
AUUGAACGCUGGCGGCAGGCCUAACACAUGCAAGUCGAACGAGUGGCGGACGGGUGAGUAAUGUCUGGGAAACUGCCUGAUGGAGGGGGAUAACUACUGGAAACGGUAGCUAAUACCGCAUACCAUCAGAGGUGCCCAGAUGGGAUGAGCUUGGUGGUGGGGUAACGGCUCGCCAAGGCGACGAUCCCUAGCUGGGCUGAGAGGAUAAACAGCCACACUGGAACGGAGCAACGGUCCAGACUCCUAGGGGAGGCAGCAGGGGGAAAUAUUGCACAAGGGGCGCAAGCCUGAUGCAGCACUGCCGCGUGUAUGAAGAAGGCUUUCGGGUUGUAAAGUACUUUCAGCGGGGAGGCGUUACCCGCAGAAGAAGCACCGGCUAACUCCGUGCCAGCAGCCGCGGUAAUAC